UACAGAGGGUGCGAGCGUUGUUCGGAAUUACUGGGCGUAAAGCGCGCGUAGGCGGCUUUGUAAGUCGGAGGUGAAAUCCCGGAGCUUAACCUCGGAACUGCCUUUGGGACUGCAAGGCUCGAGACCGGGAGAGGUGAGUGGAAUUCCCAGUGUAGAGGUGAAAUUCGUAGAUAUUGGGAAGAACACCGGUGGCGAAGGCGGCUCACUGGCCCGUUUCUGACGCUCAGGAACGAAAGCGUGGGGAGCAAACAGG
RNAcentral lists this ribosomal RNA (253 nucleotides) under uncultured bacterium. Its description in RNAcentral is "partial 16S ribosomal RNA". It matches the Rfam family "Bacterial small subunit ribosomal RNA", at positions 524 to 776 of the family's 1533-position model. The record is from RNAcentral.